GGAGAUGUCGCCUAGCUGGUCGAGGGCGCAUGAUUGGAAAUCAUGUAAACGUGAAAGCGUUUCGAGAGUUCGAAUCUCUCCAUCUCCGCCA
Molecule: transfer RNA, 91 nt
Filed under: Bacteroides sp.
Lineage: Bacteria; Pseudomonadati; Bacteroidota; Bacteroidia; Bacteroidales; Bacteroidaceae
Description: tRNA-Ser
Rfam family: tRNA
About the family: Transfer RNA (tRNA) molecules are approximately 80 nucleotides in length. Their secondary structure includes four short double-helical elements and three loops (D, anti-codon, and T loops).
Source: RNAcentral